AUUCUUACAUCAGAUGGGGGUACUAUAAUCAUGAUAGUGUUUUCCUUAUGGAAAGGCUUAUCUAUUUCACUUCAAAUAUGCUGACUCUUAAAUCUUCCCAAAAUGAGAAAAUUCAGCUUCCUAAUAUCUAGGACUAGGGUAAGGUAUUUGCACUUUACCCUG
Molecule: small nuclear RNA, 162 nt
Organism: Microtus ochrogaster (prairie vole)
Lineage: Eukaryota; Metazoa; Chordata; Mammalia; Rodentia; Cricetidae
Gene: U1
Rfam family: U1 spliceosomal RNA
About the family: U1 is a small nuclear RNA (snRNA) component of the spliceosome (involved in pre-mRNA splicing). Its 5' end forms complementary base pairs with the 5' splice junction, thus defining the 5' donor site of an intron.
Source: Ensembl